GGACUACCGGGGUAUCUAAUCCUGUUUGCUCCCCACGCUUUCGCUCCUCAGUGUCAGUACCGGCCCAGAGCGCCGCCUUCGCCGCUGGUGUUCCUCCUGAUAUCUGCGCAUUUCACCGCUACACCAGGAAUUCCACGCUCCCCUACCGGACUCAAGCUAUAGCAGUAUCGGGUGGCGUCUCCAGGUUGAGCCUGGAGGUUUCACACCCGACUUACUAAGCCACCUACGAGCUCUUUACGCCCAAUAAAUCCGGACAACGCUCGCCCCCUACGUGUUACCGCGGCGGCUGGCAC
This 293-nucleotide ribosomal RNA is filed under the name uncultured bacterium. Its description in RNAcentral is "partial 16S ribosomal RNA". The record is from RNAcentral.